Molecule: ribosomal RNA, 440 nt
Filed under: uncultured bacterium
Lineage: Bacteria
Description: partial 16S ribosomal RNA
Rfam family: Bacterial small subunit ribosomal RNA
Source: RNAcentral
CCUACGGGUGGCAGCAGUGGGGGAUAUUGGACAAUGGGGGAAACCCUGAUGCAGCAAAGCCGCGUGUGGGAAGAAGGUUUUCGGAUUGUAAACCACUGUUCGGGGGGAAGAUAAUGACGGUAACUGAGGAGAAAGCUCCGGCCAACUACGUGCCAGCAGCAGCUGAAAUACGUAGGGAGCACGCGUUGACCGGAUUUACUGGGGGUAAAGGGUGCCUAGGUGGUAUUGCAAGGCAGCCGGGAAAAGCACAGGGUCAACCUGGGGACGUCCGUUGAAACUGGGGGGCUUGAGUGAAGGAGAGGUAGGCGGAAUGCCCGGUGUAGCGGUGAAAUGCGUAGAGAUCGGGAGGAACACCAGUGGCGAAGGCGGCCUACUGGGCUUUAACUGACGCUGAGGCACGAAAGCAUGGGUAGCGAACAGGAUUAGAUACCCGUGUAGUC